CCUACGGGUGGCAGCAGUGAGGAAUAUUGGUCAAUGGGCGCUAGCCUGAACCAGCCAAGUAGCGUGAAGGAUGACUGCCCUAUGGGUUGUAAACUUCUUUUAUAAAGGAAUAAAGUGCGGCACGUGUACUGUUUUGUAUGUACUUUAUGAAUAAGGAUCGACUAACUCCGUGCCAGCAGCCGCGGUAAUACGGAGGAUCCGAGCGUUAUCCGGAUUUAUUGGGUUUAAAGGGAGCGUAGAUGGAUUGUUAAGUCAGUUGUGAAAGUUUGCGGCUCAACCGUAAAAUUGCAGUUGAUACUGGCAGCCUUGAGUACAGUAGAGGUAGGCGGAAUUCGUGGUGUAGCGGUGAAAUGCUUAGAUAUCACGAAGAACUCCGAUUGCGAAGGCAGCUUACUAAACUGCAACUGACACUGAUGCUCGAAAGUGUGGGUAUCAAACAGGAUUAGAUACCCGUGUAGUC
This 460-nucleotide ribosomal RNA is filed under the name uncultured bacterium. RNAcentral's name for it is "partial 16S ribosomal RNA". It matches the Rfam family "Bacterial small subunit ribosomal RNA", at positions 338 to 795 of the family's 1533-position model. The record is from RNAcentral.